GUCAGGAGAAGUCCAGAGCAAGAUGGAGCUCCAAGUGUAGGUGGAUCGGAUACUAGACAGAAGAUUCGAGAGGACAAGAGGCAAUGUCGCAAGGUGAGAUUUCUAUUACUGCAGAAUGACACCCCAAGCAGGUCUAUGGUCAGAGUGGACACAGCCCAUGAUGGAGGUAGGAUUGAGCGACCUGGCUCGACUUCCAUAUUUGCCCAUCCAUGAGAUAGCAGGCAUGCCCCA
RNAcentral lists this long non-coding RNA (231 nucleotides) under Elaeis guineensis (African oil palm). Its description in RNAcentral is "long non-coding RNA (EGUI_LNC011499)". The record is from RNAcentral. Lineage: Eukaryota; Viridiplantae; Streptophyta; Magnoliopsida; Arecales; Arecaceae.